AGAAAUUAUAAAGAAAUUCUCAUUUUUAAAUUUUAUUGUAGUACAUAUUUCAAAUGUUAAAUGGUAAGUUAAAAAUAAUGCAUUUUGGUUACCAACUUAUUGAUGCAUGUUCUCUCAAUUUGAGAAAAAUAUUUUCCUAUGAUUCUAGUACUUGGCUCAACUUCUUUUUUCUACUCUGAAACAGUGUUUCAGGAGCUUUAGAAAGAUCAAUUUCACUGCAGGAAGCAGCCACAUUUCUUUUCUCUUUAUUACCCACACCACACAAAUUAAGACUUCAGAAAAGAUCCUAACUUAAACACCAGUGUUAUUUGGGUCACCUCAUUUAGUGCUGUGCAAAUGGCAAAGCAUUACACAUGCAUAAAUUAACAAUGCAAGAGAUGCAUUGUGUAGGAAGGAACAGUCCUUUGAUUUGAUUGGAUGAUAUAUAAGUCUAGGUCAACACUCGUUCCAUGGUAACUAGA
This 461-nucleotide long non-coding RNA is filed under the name Bos taurus (domestic cattle). Its description in RNAcentral is "long non-coding RNA NONBTAT025859". The record is from RNAcentral. Lineage: Eukaryota; Metazoa; Chordata; Mammalia; Artiodactyla; Bovidae.